This 70-nucleotide transfer RNA is filed under the name Myxococcales bacterium. RNAcentral describes it as "tRNA-Ile". It matches the Rfam family "tRNA". Rfam says of the family: Transfer RNA (tRNA) molecules are approximately 80 nucleotides in length. Lineage: Bacteria; Pseudomonadati; Myxococcota; Myxococcia; Myxococcales. The record is from RNAcentral.
CCAUUUCGCCCAUCGGUAGGGCACUCGACUGAUAAUCGAAACGAGGGGGUUCGACUCCCCCAAUGUUCCA